Long non-coding RNA from Herpailurus yagouaroundi (jaguarundi), 899 nucleotides. RefSeq lists it as uncharacterized. The record is from RefSeq and is a predicted model, not a curated record. Lineage: Eukaryota; Metazoa; Chordata; Mammalia; Carnivora; Felidae. The transcript is spliced from 3 exons.
GUUUCGCCGAAGUCGGAGGUGUGUCAGUGGUGUUGCGCUGGCUUCCCGGGGGGUGCUGAGACCUUCGUAGGACUCUGCCGUAGGACUCGUGUGGCUGUGUCAUGUUCCGGAUGAGGGCUAAAAGGCUCUUCCUUUCCUGGUGCUUUGUCUAGAGAGAGCAGGCUUUUGGGGCCUUUUUUGUGUCUGAGCCUGCUGGCAUUUCUAGGGUGCCUGCAUCUCCAGCACCCAGUCUGAGAAAUAUGAAGCAAAAAGAAAACCCAGGGAAUUCACUGCCAUGUCUUUCAAUGGCUGGGGAAUGCAGCUUCAGGACUCCAAUAGCAUAUCACUGGCAUUGCUUUUUACAUGUAUUGAUUUGUAUUUCCAAUCAAUGAUUAGCACAUCUGAUGUCUGAUACCAUUCCCUCCAGAGGUCUUCUGUAACAACUGAUAUCGACAUGAUACUUUGACGACAAUGUUACUGGGGAGUUUAAGUUAAACAAUUGAAAUGCUAUCUUCAGACUAUCUAGAAACAGAGAAAAUGACAUUCACUUUUAAAUAAAUUUAUAAACACUAUCUUAAAAAUUACAGUUCUGCUGAGCUUCCAUUUCAGCAAUUGUGUAAUCACAUAAUGACAGGAGAAAGACUAAAGAAGAGCAAAUUGAAAAAUAGUUUAGGAGACAAAAUUAUUAUGUUUUCCUGGAUCAGUAGAAGAGACUUGUUUAAUAGCAAUAUCAAAAAUAAUAUACUUUUUGUAGAAAUUGAAUAAAAUGGAAGCAAUUUACUAACAAAACUCCUAUUUAUGUGAUGUAUAUUUAUGAAACAUUGUCCUGAGAACCGUAAUUCUAUAAUGUUUCCAUUUGAGCACUUGUAUACCAGUUAACUAAUAGGAAUAAAACUAAAAAGAGAAAACACUGAAAAUUA